AUUCGGGGGGGCCCGCACAAGCGGUGGAGCGUGGGUGAAAUUCGAAAGCACGCGAAGAACCUUACCAGGUCUUGACAUCAUUUGCCACUUCUAGAGUUAGAAGGUUCCCCUUCGGGGGACAAAGUGACAGGUGGUGCAUGGUUGUCGUCAGCUCGUGUCGUGAGAUGGUGGGUUAAGUGCCGCAACGAGCGCAACCCUUGAUCUUAGUUGGCAGCAUUCAGUUGGGCACUCUAAGGUGACUGCCGGUGACAAACCGGAGGAAGGUGGGGAUGACGUCAAAUCAUCAUGCCCCUUAUGACCUGGGCUACACACGUGCUACAAUGGAUGGUACAAAGGGCUGCGAGACCGCGAGGUUUAGCCAAUCCCAUAAAACCAUUCUCAGUUCGGAUUGCAGGCUGCAACUCGCCUGCAUGAAGCUGGAAUCGCUAGUAAUCGCGGAUCAGCAUGCCGCGGUGAAUACGUUCCCGGGCCUUGUACACACCGCCCGUCACACCACGAGAGUUUGCAACACCCGAAGUCGGUGGGGAACCGCAAGGAGCCAGCCGCCAAGUGUAGC
This 556-nucleotide ribosomal RNA is filed under the name uncultured prokaryote. Its description in RNAcentral is "bacterial SSU rRNA". It matches the Rfam family "Bacterial small subunit ribosomal RNA", at positions 909 to 1468 of the family's 1533-position model. The record is from RNAcentral.